This is a long non-coding RNA of Cygnus atratus (black swan), 1178 nucleotides long. RefSeq lists it as uncharacterized. Lineage: Eukaryota; Metazoa; Chordata; Aves; Anseriformes; Anatidae. The transcript is spliced from 2 exons. The record is from RefSeq and is a predicted model, not a curated record.
GCUCAGUACAAUGAGAUUUUCUGGGCAACUGAGUGAGAAACAUGUAUUGACAUGUCAGAAAGCAAGGUUUAUCAAAGCAACUGUUCAGGCAGUUAGUCAGUUAGUCAGUUCAGUUCAGUUCAGUUCAGUCUUUCAUUGGUAAAUAGUUUCCUAAGAAAAGGAGUUACUCCACAAAAUAGUGUAAAAUAAGUCUUCUGUGAGCCAUUGUACUAAAAACUCUACUAUACUGACAGACACUAUGGUGAUGAGCACAUGAAAGGAACCAAAACAGCACAGGACAAAAAACAAGCGUGAAUCAGCAGAACUGUUGAAAGCAAGACUUACCUGGAAGCCUUGUUCUUAAGGAAGCAGUAAAGCAGGAUGAAUUAGGAAAUACUUGAUGUGUUCGUGUCUCUCUCCCCUUAAUCACAAUUACACACCAUAACAAAAUGUAUUAUGUGUCUAUGAAAACGUGUUCAACUGAUUUUCAGAGCAAGGGCCCUUUGGCAAUUUGUUACAAACCUCAUAACAGUAUGACAUUUAGUUAUUCAGUGGUAAUAAGCAUCUGUUAUCUGUUAUCUACCAUUUGUUUAUGGCUUAAUCACUCAUAUAUUACUUACACAUCCACUUCAAGCUUGCUUCACUCUCAUACCAAAGCAAUUAGAGACAAAGAAAGAUGUUUGAAAUUUUGAUUUUGCUUUGCAAUGGGUUUUUGUCCUUCUUUUGAUGUAACUGUUACAGCAAUAUUACUGAUAAUUGUAUCUAUUCAACACCAACGCUAGUCAGUGGGACACCCAGAUUUUCCUCAAAUCUAUUUAAAAAAAAAGGUGAGAUUUAGCAGCACUUGAGUAUUUCUGUGUAAAAACCAUUAUGAAUGUCCAGGUGCCCUUUCUGAGUGACAUUUUCUUUAAUUUCUUCCCGUAAUACGUCCUUGAAUUAUAAGGUGUCUGGUUAUGCAUUUGUCAAAGGCCUUGUGUUAGUUGUUCAUAAAAUAAAUGUGCAGAACUUUGUUAUAAAAAAAAAGAAAAAAAAAAAGGUAAAAAGGUGUCUAGUGGCCACAAUUUUCUGAUAACAAGUAUGUUGUUGUAAAAGGCCACUUGUGUAUAUAGCUUGUUUUCAUUUCGGAUGUAUACUUCUUUAUACUUCUUAAUUACAAACUAAGAAGGUAAAUAAACAUGGAUUUAUUUAUUUGAAGAACA